CAGGCUGGUCUUGAACUCCUGGCCUCCAGCGGCCUCCCACCUCAGCCUCCCAAAGUGCUGGGAUUACAGGCCCGAGCCUCUGCGUCCAGCCGAUCCAGCAUGCUUUGAAGGCACAAAUCAGGGGCACUUUCAUGCUGGCCCAGCAGAGCCAGUGGGUCCCGCCCAAUGCCUGGGCUACUUCCUGCUGUGCCUGGGGGCACCUGGGGCUGUCCUGCCUCACUGGCCAAGGCCCGGCUCUGUCCCUGGGCUCUGGCCACUGUUCUGCCAUCCCAGGCUGGGUACCCAUGGGCAGCCCGACAGUAUCUGUUGCACAGAGCAGACCCCAGGCCCCAUGGGUGCCUGACACGAAGCCCCACAGCGUGUGCCCGCGUCCCCCGAGGUCAGCCGGCGGCUCCUGCCCUUCCCUCUGACCUCUGGUUGGGGGCCGGCCAUUUUUCUGCUUGUUCCUCUAGCUCUGCUACUGGGCACAUGGUCCGUGCUGGGUAGGCUGCAGGCCAGGGUGAGUUGCUGACCCGCUGACCCUGGCUGUGCACCUGCCCUCCUGCCCUGGGUGGCUGCUGCUGGCCCAGGGGUGACUUGGGGGCUUUCAAGCUUCUGCCCGUGCUGGCCGCACGACCCCACGUCCCACCCUGGGUAGGGACUUGUGAUUCUCAGAGCUGGGGUCCGUUGCUUUCCUAAGGACCUCCGGCCCUGGUCGUGGUCUAAAUGCUCACUCCUGUUGUUGGAGAGGCCAGCCGGGUGACAGGGAAAAGCCCAGAGCCCCGGGCUUCCCGUGAGGAUCUGGGCUCAGCAUGGGCUGUGGGGCUGCAGAGGCCUGGCCUUGCCUGCUGAGGGACACCCGCUGGUAGUGCCUGCAGAGGGGGGAGGAGGAAUUCCUCCCCCUAGUGCCCUCUGGACCCUGGGAGAGCAAGACCUCUGCAUCCACACUGCCUUCCGCUGGGCCUCUGGGGACUGGGGAAGCGGACACAGUCCAGGACUGUUGGAGGAGGAAGAGGCUGCGGCUGCUCUUCCCUGGGGGUCCGGCUCCAGGAGGCUGCGGUGACCGUUGGGCCGGAGCAGGCCAGUGCCGGGCACGUCCUGCCCAUGACAGCCCUGCUGCCAGCCGUGGGCACUUGUUCCUGGAGCUCCGUGGCUGGGUCCUGCCGUCUCCGCUGCUGCCCUGCCCUGCCAUGUUCACCUCCAGUUUAUCCAGCAAUGGGGAGAGGGGCUUCUUAGAUCCCCCUCAGGCUUUUCUUUUGUGCCUUUAGAUAUGUGAAAUACAACACAGCCAGGCAAAGCAGGUGCCGGUGAGACACCUGGCUGGCCCGAGCUGGCCCGAAGAACUGCCUGUCUGCCAUGAGGAAAACCCACACUGCGUGGUGGCUGGGAGGCCAGGAGUUUUCACAAGCCGGAAACCUGUUAGAUUUCUCUACCUGACAGCAGGAAAAUCUGAUGAGACCCGAUCGCAUCCAGGCAGGCCGUGUUCUCGCAGCCCGCGGGUUAACACAGACUCCGAGUGACUCCGACGCAGGAGAACGCGGCGAAUCUGCGUGAGGCAGGCCACCAGCCUUGGUGCCCCGGAGACAGCUCCCCCAACGGCCAUGUGACGGCGUUGAGUGUCCGUGGUCAGGUAGCCGAAGCAGAGACGGAAGGCAGCAAACGUCAGCAUUUUCUUCUCUGCACUUAUAAGAAAGAUCAAAGACUUUAAGACUUUCACUAUUUGUUUUACCGCUAUCUGCUACGAACUUCAAAGAGGAACCAGGAGUACAGGAGGAGUAUGAAAUGCAACAAAGAGUAAUAUUAAAAGCUAAUGAUUAAUAA
RNAcentral lists this long non-coding RNA (1800 nucleotides) under Homo sapiens (human). Its description in RNAcentral is "HSALNT0309873". The record is from RNAcentral. Lineage: Eukaryota; Metazoa; Chordata; Mammalia; Primates; Hominidae.